GAUGAACGCUGGCGGCGUGCCUAAUACAUGCAAGUAGAACGCACAGUUUAUACGGUCGUUUGCUACACCAUAGACAGUGAGUUACGAAUGGGUGAUUAACGCGUAUGUAAUUUUUCUUGUAGGGUGGGGUAACUAUUGUUAACGUUAUCUAAUAUAGGAUCUUCUUGUUUAUUCCAUGAUUCUUCGUUGAUUGCUGCAACUACUUCACUACCAUAUGGUUCUGUGUUGUAUUAGCUAGUAGGUGAGGUAACGGCUCACCUAUGCGACGAUAAAUAGCCGACCUGAGAGGGUGAUCGGCCACACUGGGACUGAGACACGGCCCAGACGCCUACGGGAGGCAGCAGUAGGGAAACUUCGGAAAUAGACGAAAGUCUGACCGAGCAACGCCGCGUGAGUGAAGAAGGUUUUCGGAUCGUAAAGCUCUGUUGUAAGAGAAGAAAGGGUGUGAGAGUGGAAAGUUCACACUGUGACGGUAUCUUACCAGAAAGGGACGGCUAACUACGUG
Molecule: ribosomal RNA, 505 nt
Filed under: uncultured bacterium
Lineage: Bacteria
Description: partial 16S ribosomal RNA
Rfam family: Bacterial small subunit ribosomal RNA
Source: RNAcentral